Molecule: unclassified non-coding RNA, 148 nt
Organism: Pongo abelii (Sumatran orangutan)
Lineage: Eukaryota; Metazoa; Chordata; Mammalia; Primates; Hominidae
Rfam family: Metazoan signal recognition particle RNA
About the family: The signal recognition particle (SRP) is a universally conserved ribonucleoprotein. It is involved in the co-translational targeting of proteins to membranes.
Source: Ensembl
GCCGGGCAUGGUGAUGCAAGCCUGUAAUCCCAGCUACUCAGGAGGCUGAGGCAGGAGAAUUGCUUGAGCUUGGGAGACGGAGGUUGCAGUGAGCCAAGAUUGUGCCACUGCACUCCAGCCUGGGUGACAAAGCGAGAUUCUGUCUCAA